AGUCGAACGGUAGCACAGAGAGCUUGCUCUCGGGUGACGAGUGGCGGACGGGUGAGUAAUGUCUGGGAAACUGCCCGAUGGAGGGGGAUAACUACUGGAAACGGUAGCUAAUACCGCAUAACGUCGCAAGACCAAAGUGGGGGACCUUCGGGCCUCACACCAUCGGAUGUGCCCAGAUGGGAUUAGCUAGUAGGUGGGGUAAUGGCUCACCUAGGCGACGAUCCCUAGCUGGUCUGAGAGGAUGACCAGCCACACUGGAACUGAGACACGGUCCAGACUCCUACGGGAGGCAGCAGUGGGGAAUAUUGCACAAUGGGCGCAAGCCUGAUGCAGCCAUGCCGCGUGUAUGAAGAAGGCCUUCGGGUUGUAAAGUACUUUCAGCGGGGAGGAAGGCGGUGAAGUUAAUAGCUUCACCGAUUGACGUUACCCGCAGAAGAAGCACCGGCUAACUCCGUGCCAGCAGCCGCGGUAAUACGGAGGGUGCAAGCGUUAAUCGGAAUUACUGGGCGUAAAGCGCACGCAGGCGGUCUGUCAAGUCGGAUGUGAAAUCCCCGGGCUUUAACCUGGGAACUGCAUUCGAAACUGGCAGGCUAGAGUCUUUGUAGAGGGGGGUAGAAUUCCAGGUGUAGCGGUGAAAUGCGUAGAGAUCUGGGAGGAAUACCGGUGGCGAAGGCGGCCCCCUGGACAAAGACUGACGCUCAGGUGCGAAAGCGUGGGGGAGCAAACAGGGAUUAGAUACCCUGGUAGUCCACGCCGUAAAACGAUGUCGACUUGGAGGUGUUCCCUUGAGGAGUGGCUUCCGGAGCUAACGCGUUAAGUCGACCGCCUGGGGGAGUACGGCCGCAAG
Molecule: ribosomal RNA, 847 nt
Filed under: Enterobacterales bacterium
Lineage: Bacteria; Pseudomonadati; Pseudomonadota; Gammaproteobacteria; Enterobacterales
Description: bacterial SSU rRNA
Rfam family: Bacterial small subunit ribosomal RNA
Source: RNAcentral